GCUGGCCGGACGGACCGUGGUGAUUGAGAACAUUCGAGUGAACGAGUCGUUGGACGGCGGUGGAAUUGGAUUAAAGGAUUAUGAGGUUUCGUUUCUGAGGCUGGUGGACAAGCUGACUAACGGCUCUAAAGUUAAGAUCAAUGAGAUAGGGACUGCAAUACGACUGGUUCCUGGUGUGCCCGUGGGAGGAGAAUUU
This 196-nucleotide non-coding RNA is filed under the name Rhodosorus marinus. The record is from RNAcentral. Lineage: Eukaryota; Rhodophyta; Stylonematophyceae; Stylonematales; Stylonemataceae.